RNAcentral lists this ribosomal RNA (402 nucleotides) under uncultured bacterium. RNAcentral describes it as "bacterial SSU rRNA". It matches the Rfam family "Bacterial small subunit ribosomal RNA", at positions 355 to 747 of the family's 1533-position model. The record is from RNAcentral.
UGGGGAAUUUUGGACAAUGGGCGCAAGCCUGAUCCAGCAAUGCCGCGUGAGUGAAGAAGGCCUUCGGGGUUGUAAAGCUCUUUCAGUCGAGAAGAAAAAGGCUGCAGUGAAUAACUGUAGUUUAUGACGGUAUCGACAGAAGAAGCACCGGCUAACUACGUGCCAGCAGCCGCGGUAAUACGUAGGGUGCGAGCGUUAAUCGGAAUUACUGGGCGUAAAGGGUGCGCAGGCGGUUUUGUAAGUCAGAUGUGAAAUCCCCGGGCUUAACCUGGGAAUUGCGUUUGAAACUACAAGACUAGAGUGUGGCAGAGGGAGGUGGAAUUCCAUGUGUAGCAGUGAAAUGCGUAGAGAUAUGGAAGAACAUGAUGGCGAAGGCAGCCUCCGUGGGUUAACACUGACGCU